This 1462-nucleotide long non-coding RNA is filed under the name Ananas comosus (pineapple). RNAcentral describes it as "long non-coding RNA (ACOM_LNC005330)". Lineage: Eukaryota; Viridiplantae; Streptophyta; Magnoliopsida; Poales; Bromeliaceae. The record is from RNAcentral.
CCUUUCUCUAUAGCCCCUUCUAUCUUUCUAUAACUUUCAAUUCAAAUAUGACAUACGUGACGCCCCAACUUUCCAGGGGUCACUCAUCCUAGGAUUACUCCCGUCCUAACAAAUUUAACUCUCUUAACCUCUUGGGCCUAGCUACCAUCCAAAUGUUUAAAGCUGGUUAAGAGUUUUAGCCUAUUAUAUCUUAUAUAUAGGAUUAACUAAGGUCUCACAUUCUCUUCUCUUAAGCCCUGACGUCCUUGUCAAGCUCAGACUUACAAAUAUCAGACGAUGUGAGACUCGUCUUGCUAGCCUAAACCGACCUUGUGGUGAACUGCGCUUCACCCACAAUAGUCAACAGCAUGAGAACCUCGCUCUCGCCAUUGUAUAAUCCUAGCUCAGCUAAGACUCAUCUUACACUUCUGGCUAGUAAUUGGGUCUGAUACCGAUUGUGACACCCCAACUUUCUAGAGGAUCACCCAUCAUAGGACUGCUCCCAUCCUAACGCACUUAACUCUUUUAACCUCUUGGGCCGAACCACCACCCAAAAUGCUUAAGCAGGGUUAAGAGUUUUAACCAUAUUACAUCUUAUAUAUAGGACUACCUGGAGUCUCACAACAUAACUAUAAUCAAGGUGAUAUCCGUCAGGCAGUUACACAUUGUUCCCUUUAAUUGCUCUUGGAAAUAAUCCCCUUUUUCAAAUUCGUCGGCAUCUACUCUUUGAAUUUCAAAUAUCUAAACUUACUUUCUUGAGCUUAGCUGAAGCCUUUGGCCUUUGGCAUUCUUCGUCUCAUCGAAGCCAAACACAUCCGCCACCCUCUGAAUGAUUGACAACAAGCAAAUCAUCGAUUCGAUUUCCAAUGCAUUAGAUUUUUCGACAUUUCGACAUGACACCUUGCAUUAUAGCCAUGUACAUUUGGCUUGGUAGUCUAUCGCAGCAUCUUUUAUGGGAAAGCCUCUACCUCUCGAGACAGCUCAUAUUCUAAGAACACUUGCAGUCCUUACUCUGUGUGUCACGCCCCGGGCACGAUACCAAUUUGGGCCGGGCCGGGCACGUCGAACAGACGCCGAACGGACAGAGUUUUUCCUGUCCGCCUAAGGCUCAACACGUGUACAAUUCAAGCAAAGAGAGUGUACAAGCGGAAACAUAUAUAAUGGCUUACACGAGGGUAAGCAACAGCCAAGAGUGAAAGAAUGGAAGUUAAACAUCUACACAAGUACUAUGAUUCAUUUUUGAUCACAUACAUUGCAUUCACGAUUCUUUUACAUAUACAUGCUUUUCAUUAUUUCUUUUUACAUCACAUCGUCUUCUCAAAAUAGAAAGUUUACACUCUUUUCUUUAACAUCUCUAAUCAUCAAAUACAAAAAAUGAUGUAAGGGUAUGCUACUAGCAAAAGUAUAAAACCCGACUUGGGUAGCCUCUGUCUACGGCGCGAUACCUUUACCGCGGUCGCUCGCCAGCUCGCUCGGUCCCGGC